RNAcentral lists this long non-coding RNA (268 nucleotides) under Populus trichocarpa (black cottonwood). RNAcentral describes it as "long non-coding RNA (PTRI_LNC003248)". Lineage: Eukaryota; Viridiplantae; Streptophyta; Magnoliopsida; Malpighiales; Salicaceae. The record is from RNAcentral.
GUGAGGGAUAUAUCUUAAGAUCAAUUGAGUUUCCUCCUCCAUUGAUUUUAAAAGCUUAUAUAUGGUGGCAGCCUAGUAUAUUGAAUACUGAUGGGCUAAUGAUACUGGCAAUUUUCACAAAAAAGAGGAAGAUAUGAUCUUAAUUGGUGUCUUAAGGAGAGAAAUCGUUGUUAAUUAUCUCGAUCAAGCUUUAAUCAUUCCGUCUUUAAAACAGGGUAGUUCAUGCUUCAUUGUAGCAAUUAUUAAUUAUUAAGACGCGCAUCCAGGU